CUACGGGUGGCUCCAGUGGGGAAUAUUGCACAAUGGAGGAAACUCUGAUACAGCAACGCCGCGUGGAGGAUGACACUUUUCGGAGCGUAAACUCCUUUUAUAUAGGAAGAAGAUGACGGUACUAUAUGAAUAAGCGCCGGCUAACUCCGUGCCAGCAGCGCGCGGUAAUACGGAGGGCGCAAGCGUUACUCGGAAUCACUGGGCGUAAAGAGCGUGUAGGCGGAUUAAAAAGUCAGAAGUGAAAUCCUAUAGCUUAACUAUAGAACUGCAUCUGAAACUCUUAAUCUAGAAUAUGGGAGAGGUAGAUGGAAUUUCUGGUGUAGGGGUAAAAUCCGUAGAGAUCAGAAGGAAUACCGAUUGCGAAGGCGAUCUACUAGAACAUUAUUGACGCUGAGACGCGAAAGCGUGGGGAGCAAACAGGAUUAGAUACCCGCGUAGUC
RNAcentral lists this ribosomal RNA (440 nucleotides) under uncultured bacterium. RNAcentral describes it as "partial 16S ribosomal RNA". It matches the Rfam family "Bacterial small subunit ribosomal RNA", at positions 339 to 795 of the family's 1533-position model. The record is from RNAcentral.